RNAcentral lists this ribosomal RNA (296 nucleotides) under uncultured bacterium. RNAcentral describes it as "partial 16S ribosomal RNA". It matches the Rfam family "Bacterial small subunit ribosomal RNA", at positions 28 to 319 of the family's 1533-position model. The record is from RNAcentral.
GACGAACGCUGGCGGCGCGCUUAACACAUGCAAGUCGAGCGAGAACCGGAGCUUGCUCCGGGGACAGCGGCGAACGGGUGAGUAACACGUGGGUAAUCUGCCCUCGAUUCUGGGAUAGCCCGGGGAAACCCGGAUUAAUACCGGAUAGCCUUUCGAGCUCUCGAGCCUGAAAGAAAAGGUAGCUUCGGCCUCCGAUCGAGGAUGAGCCCGCGGCGGAUUAGCUUGUUGGCGGGGUAAUGCCCACCAAGGCGACGAUCCGUAGCUGGUCGUGAGAGGACGAUCAGCCACACUGGGAC